Molecule: ribosomal RNA, 1402 nt
Filed under: Bacillus sp. 26a
Lineage: Bacteria; Bacillati; Bacillota; Bacilli; Caryophanales; Bacillaceae
Description: 16S ribosomal RNA
Rfam family: Bacterial small subunit ribosomal RNA
Source: RNAcentral
AGUCUAGCGGACAGAAGGGAGCUUGCUCCCGGAUGUUAGCGGCGGACGGGUGAGUAACACGUGGGUAACCUGCCUGUAAGACUGGGAUAACUCCGGGAAACCGGAGCUAAUACCGGAUAGUUCCUUGAACCGCAUGGUUCAAGGAUGAAAGACGGUUUCGGCUGUCACUUACAGAUGGACCCGCGGCGCAUUAGCUAGUUGGUGAGGUAACGGCUCACCAAGGCGACGAUGCGUAGCCGACCUGAGAGGGUGAUCGGCCACACUGGGACUGAGACACGGCCCAGACUCCUACGGGAGGCAGCAGUAGGGAAUCUUCCGCAAUGGACGAAAGUCUGACGGAGCAACGCCGCGUGAGUGAUGAAGGUUUUCGGAUCGUAAAGCUCUGUUGUUAGGGAAGAACAAGUGCAAGAGUAACUGCUUGCACCUUGACGGUACCUAACCAGAAAGCCACGGCUAACUACGUGCCAGCAGCCGCGGUAAUACGUAGGUGGCAAGCGUUGUCCGGAAUUAUUGGGCGUAAAGGGCUCGCAGGCGGUUUCUUAAGUCUGAUGUGAAAGCCCCCGGCUCAACCGGGGAGGGUCAUUGGAAACUGGGAAACUUGAGUGCAGAAGAGGAGAGUGGAAUUCCACGUGUAGCGGUGAAAUGCGUAGAGAUGUGGAGGAAACACCAGUGGCGAAGGCGACUCUCUGGUCUGUAACUGACGCUGAGGAGCGAAAAGCGUGGGGAGCGAACAGGAUUAGAUACCCUGGUAGUCCACGCCGUAAACGAUGAGUGCUAAGUGUUAGGGGGUUUCCGCCCCUUAGUGCUGCAGCUAACGCAUUAAGCACUCCGCCUGGGGAGUACGGUCGCAAGACUGAAACUCAAAGGAAUUGACGGGGGCCCGCACAAGCGGUGGAGCAUGUGGUUUAAUUCGAAGCAACGCGAAGAACCUUACCAGGUCUUGACAUCCUCUGACAACCCUAGAGAUAGGGCUUUCCCUUCGGGGACAGAGUGACAGGUGGUGCAUGGUUGUCGUCAGCUCGUGUCGUGAGAUGUUGGGUUAAGUCCCGCAACGAGCGCAACCCUUGAUCUUAGUUGCCAGCAUUCAGUUGGGCACUCUAAGGUGACUGCCGGUGACAAACCGGAGGAAGGUGGGGAUGACGUCAAAUCAUCAUGCCCCUUAUGACCUGGGCUACACACGUGCUACAAUGGACAGAACAAAGGGCUGCGAGACCGCAAGGUUUAGCCAAUCCCACAAAUCUGUUCUCAGUUCGGAUCGCAGUCUGCAACUCGACUGCGUGAAGCUGGAAUCGCUAGUAAUCGCGGAUCAGCAUGCCGCGGUGAAUCCGUUCCAGGCCCUUGUACACACCGCCCGUCACCCCACGAGAGUUUGCAACACCCGAAGUCGGUGAGGUAACCUUUA